RNAcentral lists this ribosomal RNA (253 nucleotides) under uncultured bacterium. RNAcentral's name for it is "partial 16S ribosomal RNA". It matches the Rfam family "Bacterial small subunit ribosomal RNA", at positions 524 to 776 of the family's 1533-position model. The record is from RNAcentral.
UACGUAGGGGGCUAGCGUUGUCCGGAAUCAUUGGGCGUAAGGAGCGUGUAGGCGGUCCGGUAAGUCCGCUGUGAAAGUCGGGGGCUCAACCCUCGAAUGCCGGUGGAUACUGUCGGGCUAGAGUACGGAAGAGGCGAGUGGAAUUCCUGGUGUAGCGGUGAAAUGCGCAGAUAUCAGGAGGAACACCUAUUGCGAAGGCAGCUCGCUGGGACGUAACUGACGCUGAGACGCGAAAGCGUGGGGAGCAAACAGG